AAGUUAUGGAUGUGUCAUUGCCGUAUGAAGUCCAUUACGCAGGGAAAAAGCGUAUCCUACACCUGGCAGAGCCUUGCCUGUUGGUGUGGGGUAGAGGAAGUAAAUGGUUCCAACCCCAGAAGAACAUCACCAUUGAAGAAAUUUCAGCUUUUUAGCUGAUGAACAUCGUCUCAUUGGAGACUGCCUCUGUCACCCAACAGCCCGUGGUUCCCUGCGGUGAGGUCUGCUACCUGCAAGCAUGGUACAUUUCUCCUGUGUGUCGUAUACUGUGGAAGCUGGGACUACACCAUCCCAGAGGCUGAAUUUGCAUUUGCAGUGGGCAGCUUGUUCAGAUUCUUCACUUGUAAGGACAUGAGUACCGGCUAGAAGCAAGGUAUCACCUGCAGGGCUGAGAAUGACAUUCAGAGGGAUCGAAUUCCAAACUGGAAGACACACCCUGCAAACAACUGCGCAGGGAAGAAUCUUUCCAGAAUUUCAGCAUCUCCCAAACAGCUAUUGACUUGUUUAUGUUGCCUUACACAGGAACAUGCAGAUCUCAUAGUCCAAAUCAGAUAGUGAUUUUAUAUACCUCUGUUCCGUAUGCCUCCGUUCUCAUCUGGCUUUGUUUUCCCAAAGCUCUUCUAGACCAGAAAGACAUGCAGAUGCCCUCAAUGAUAGCAUCAAAUUUUAGCCUUGUAAAUUCCCACGAAACCUACCGUAGGUUGUAAAUGUGUUAGCCAAGCAUGGAAAGAAGAUUUAGCCUUUCAAAGCUAGAGACGCUGUUCUUUCAUCCAGCACCACCUAGAUGCCACCGCCUCUGCAACCGAGCUGACUUGUAAGUGGCACCAUAGCAUGCAGCGCUCACUGUGCUCUAGGGCCCUCCUCGGAAGAGUUUGUGCCCUGGAUAUCUGAAUGAGGAGAAUGAUGUGAUCCAUACAAUCAGACACUCUGGAGAAGAAUAUGAAUAUGGCACACAGCUUACAAUGAAGAACUUGUCUGUGCCGUGCAGAGACACCGGGACACAAUGUGAAGAAUGUCUGUGCUGUGCAGCGACUGUGAGCAGAGGAGCGUGGGCUGCUCAGACACAGGCAGGCUGCAAUUGCCAUGCAUUCCCUGCAUGCCCACCAGCUUCCGACUCCUCGCUUUGGAAUCACAGAGCAACAACGAGAGAGUAGUUUCUCACGCUAUUCCGUUACAACCUGAACACUUUUAUGCACAAAGUGUCACAUAUGUAAGGAUAACUGGAACUUAUUUCAGUGUGCUUUGCAGUAGAGACAAACUGGGUCCUUAUCUGUACAGGAGAAGUGCUGGUGUGUAA
This is a non-coding RNA of Phalacrocorax carbo (great cormorant), 1297 nucleotides long. The record is from RefSeq and is a predicted model, not a curated record. NCBI's taxonomy places the organism in Eukaryota, Metazoa, Chordata, Aves, Suliformes, Phalacrocoracidae.